AGGUAAUUAACUCAAUGGUAGAGUAUCUCGUUUACACCGAGAAGGCUAAUGGUUCAAAUCCAUUAUUACCUA
RNAcentral lists this transfer RNA (72 nucleotides) under Malawimonas jakobiformis. Its description in RNAcentral is "tRNA-Val". It matches the Rfam family "tRNA". From Rfam's summary of the family: Transfer RNA (tRNA) molecules are approximately 80 nucleotides in length. Their secondary structure includes four short double-helical elements and three loops (D, anti-codon, and T loops). The record is from RNAcentral. Lineage: Eukaryota; Malawimonada; Malawimonadea; Malawimonadida; Malawimonadidae.